UUCAAUUCGAUAUUGUGUAAUAGGUGGAUGAGUUGCUGUUUUCAGGUGUAGAUGUUAUAUUAGGCGAACCAUUAGUAACAGUGUUCACAGGAUCGGAGAGGAUCGUCAAGCGGGUAAUCUAGCUGAUUUUGUGGUAGCCUGAGCAUUUAUCCUUGCUUUGUUAUGUCUGCUUUUGUACUCUUGGUUUGGAUUUGGAUCUCAACAGGUGAAGGGGUGAUUUCAAGCGGUGUGUACGUAAAAUUUGCCUGAGGUUUUGUCUGAGAUCUGUUUAUUGGAGGGCAUCGGUCAGCUGUGUUAUUAUCAUGAUGUAGUUGUGUGCUGUCCAUCUGACGCGAUCACAUGGCCAAUGACACGACUGUAAUCUUUUGUUUCAAGCGGAGAUUUCAGUAUGCAACAGGUUGCUUAUUAAUAUUGUAACAUGAAACGCUAAGUUACGCAUGCGACUUGGGUACUGCAAUUCGCAGCUAAUCGAUUCCGUGGACUCCAUGUUUGAGUCUCUCAGUUUGUGUGGACUUCAGGCUGCAGUCUCUCAGCUUCCGGAGGUAUAAUUCGGCGAGUAGUUAUAGUCGAUUAGGGUUUACUUCGAUUAAAUUGCAUCUAGUUAAUUUAUCAUCGACAACGUGCCUCAUCAUGAAGGGUAAAGAAAUGAACUAUUCAUAAUCUUUCUCUUCAUAUGCACAUACUCGAAAAUUCAUAUUGUUAUUUUGACAGAGUUUGACACAAUCUAGAAAGAGUUGGAAAUUAAACAAUCGAAUUUCAGAGCACGUGUUCUAAAUCUUAGUCAAAUGUGGGUCUCAUCAAACGAGUCCCUGACGUCUUUGUAGCUGGUGGUUGAAUCUAUAGCUAUAACAAUGCGGAGAAGUUACGUGCUCAGCAAUGUAAACACAUAUACAAUCUACACGCCAGAGUGUUAUCUGUGAGACAAGUCAAAUUGGUGAAUGCGACCACUUUUGUGCAGAGAAAAAACUUCAGCUCACAGCAAGAAGGGUGUCUCGAGGGGCACAUGGGCAUUUGAUCGCAUUCACUGGGGAAUGAAAGCAGACAAGAUGAAUCGAUUACCAACUAUGAAGUCGGAAAGCGCGGAGGCCCUGAAGAUUGGCCUCACCAUGGAACUUGAGCCACCAGUGUUCGAUAGCGCUGGUAGCGCUGAGGAUUGGCGCAAGGCGCUCAACAAGGUAGUACCUGCAGUGGUCGUGCUCCGCACUACCGCUACACGCGCGUUUGACACAGAAGUGGCGGGGGCCAGCUAUUCCACCGGCUUUGUAGUUGACAAGAAGCGGGGAAUACUUCUCACAAAUCGCCAUGUUGUUAAGCCUGGACCCAUAGUGGCUGAAGCCAUGUUCGUGAACCGAGAGGAAAUUUCAGUGUAUCCUCUUUACCGAGACCCAGUUCACGAUUUUGGUUUCCUCUGGUUUGACCCAAGCUUGGUUCAGUUUUUAGAUUACGAGGAAAUUCCUCUUGCACCAGAUGCGGCCCAGGUGGGGCUUGAGAUCCGUGUCGUAGGUAAUGACAGCGGGGAGAAGGUGUCAAUACUCGCGGGGACACUUGCACGACUUGACCGCGACGCGCCACACUACAAGAAGGAUGGAUAUAACGAUUUCAACACAUUCUAUAUGCAGGCCGCCUCAGGAACCAAGGGUGGUUCCAGCGGCUCCCCUGUUAUUGACAUCCAUGGUCGGGCAGUUGCGCUUAACGCAGGAAGCAAAUCUGCUUCUGCCUCUGCUUUUUUUCUUCCUCUGGAACGAGUAGUGCGGGCUCUUCAUCUGUUGCAAGCGCAGAAAGAUAAAUCUCUCAAGGGAUGGACACCCGCUGCAAUUCCCCGCGGAACUUUUCAGUUGACUUUUUCUCACAAAGGAUUCGACGAAAUUCGUCGACUUGGCUUGAAGAGGGACACAGAGCAGAUGGUUCGGAAGGCUUCACCUCCCUCCGAAACUGGUAUGCUUGUGGUGGAGUCAGUGGUACCAGGAGGCCCUGCACACAAGCAGCUAGAGCCAGGGGAUGUGCUUGUAAGAGCCGGUGGUGAAGUGUUAACCCAGUUUUUGAAGUACGAAACUUUACUGGACGAUAAUGUGGGUAAGUCCGUCAUCUUGGAGCUGGAGCGAGGAGGAACAACUAUCAAUGUGACGAUUGAAGUGCAGGAUUUGCACUCCAUCACUCCUAAUAUGUUCCUUGAAGUGAGCGGUGGAGUAAUCCACGCGCUUUCCUACCAACAAGCUCGCAACCUGCACUUUGUCUGCGGUAUUGUGUACGUCGCAGAGCCUGGAUAUAUGCUGUCUCGCGCAGGGGUGCCCAAGCAUGCCAUAAUUAAGAAGAUGGCAGGAGAGGAAAUUGUCAAUCUUGACAGCUUUAUCUCAGUUUUCUUUAAACUCUCGAAAGGGGCGCGUGUUCCGCUGGAGUUUGUGAGCCAUGCCGACAGACAUCGAAGCAAGUCGGUUAUAGUCACAAUUGACCGCCAUGAGUGGUAUGCACCCCCUCGGAUUUACACCCGAAAUGACGCCACUGGAUUGUGGGAUAUUCGUCCUGCAGCCCCCAGCCCCGAGGUCCCUUCGGUAGCUCUCAAAGCCAACCAUAUGGAGGCAGACGGUGUCGCUGUCCAUGUGGGUAACGGAGUCGUCAAGGAAGGAGAUAAUGGCGAAACUGUCGUUAUUUAUGAGCUGCAGGUAGAAGCUGUUACAAGGCGUCAAAAAGUCGACUCAGAGCUCCCUAUUGAUCUCCCUGUUCCCACCAUCAAGGGUAAAUUGGACGCCACAUCUAGGCAUGGGAGUGGCAUCGCUCCAGAAACUAGCUCAUCCAUUGCAGAGCACGUCAUUGAGCCCACUCUGGUCAUGAUGGAGGUUCACAUCCCGCCCUCAGCCAUGCUGGACGGUGUUCAUGCGCAACAUUCUUUCGGCACUGGAGUUAUUGUGUACCACUCGAAAGACCUCGGGCUGGUGGCAGUGGACAAGAACACGGUGGCCAUCUCAGUCUCAGAUGUCAUGUUGAACUUCGCCGCCUUCCCUAUGGAUAUCCCUGGCGAAGUGGUCUUCUUGCAUCCCGUACACAAUUAUUCGUUAGUGGCGUAUAAUCCCAGAGCUUUGGGUGAAGUGGGAAUGGCUGCGGUGCAGGCAGCUGUCCUCUUACCAGAUCCUCCAUUGCGAAGAGGAGAUUUUGUUUACCUUGUUGGGCUAUCGAGGAGCUUGCAAGCAACAUCACGGAAGUCCACAGUGACCAACCCUGGAGAAGCUCUCAAUGUGGCAGCAGCCGAUUGCCCCAGGUACCGUGCGCUGAACAUGGAGGUUAUUGAGCUAGACACCGACUUCGGUCACAACUUUUCUGGGGUCUUGGCCGAUGAGGCUGGCCGAGUUCAAGCCCUCUGGGGUAGUUUCUCGAAGCAGGUGAAAUAUGGAGAUAGCUCUCCUGAAGACCACCAGUUCGUGCGAGGAAUACCAAUCCAUGCAAUAUCCGAGGUUUUGGACGUGAUUGUGAGUGGGAUGUCUGGAGGUCCUUCCUUGGUUAUCAACGGCGUGAAGCGGUCCAUGCCUCUCAUGCGUAUUCUCGAGGCGGAGCUUUACCCCACUUUAUUGUCCAAGGCGCGAAGUUUUGGCCUCAGCGACAAAUGGGUGCAGGCAUUGGCGGACAAGGACACUAUUCGACGGCAGGUGCUGCGUGUGAAGGGGUGUUUGGCGGGGUCACGAGCACACGGCGUUCUAGACCAGGGUGACAUGUUGUUAGCAAUCAGCGGGCAACCUGUGACGUGCUUCCGGGAUGUUGAGAUUGCCUGCGAGGCAACCAAGUCAGACAUCUCCGGCACUGUUUCGCCAGGAUCUUUGGAUGUCACGUUGUUUAGACAGGGACGUGAGAUUAACAUACAGGUCGGGAUUGACGACCGCGAUGGGUUUGGGACGACCAGAAUGAUCAACUGGGCUGGAUGUGUUUUGCAAGAGCCGCACUCUGCAGUCCGAGCGCUGGGAUUUCUACCUCAGCAGGGUCACGGAGUCUAUGUAGUAAGGUGGUGCCAUGGUAGCCCCGUCCACAGAUAUGGUCUUUACGCGCUUCAAUGGAUUGUGGAGGUCAAUGGUAAGCCCACUCCAAGCCUCCAAGAUUUCGUGGAUGUGACACAGGAGUUGGAGCAUGGGGCUUUUGUGCGCGUCAAGACCGUGUACUUGAAUGGGAAGCCUCGAGUGUUGACAGUGAAGCAGGAUCUCCACUACUGGCCUACAUGGGAGCUUCGCUUUGAUCCCACAACUGCAAUGUGGCGUCGUCAUGUUAUCAAAUCACAUUGAAACCAGAUUGUUGGAUGCCGUUUGCACAACUGGCAUCUGCCGUGGAAGCCCAUCUCUCAGACAUCCACAUCAAAAUAAUCAACAUCAAAAAAAGGCUGGAUGUGUUUUGCAUUAAGCGUAUGAAGCAACCGCAACAAGGGAGGAUUGUACAGUGGCAUUGAUAAGGUGAGCAAAGUUGGCCCUGGUUUAACUUACCAUCGAAUCGCAAGCUGACAGCGCUCCCGUCUUCAAGCUUUGUUUCCUUCAAGGUGCUGCGCCAUUACUUCAGUUUCAAUAAGAACAAAACAUACAGAACCUGAAGGUCUCUUAACACACACUGGAAAGCGUCGGGAGCUUAGACAAACGGUGACGCACGUGCAUGUGCCGCACAACCCAACUUUCCAUUGCAGAAUGCUUGUGCUCUCACAGACUGAACGCAAGCAAGUAAGCAAGCAAGCACAGAAAUCAGUUACAGACUUCAGCCUAAAUCUUUAGGUACCCAAGUGCAUUUCAUUUGAGAUUCAUUAUGGAAGCCAAGAAGGUUCUCUUUUGCAGGAUUUUGUUUCCACUUCAUUGUUCAUAAUUAGAUGGAAAAUAGCAUUAUGGAGCUAGCAUGAUUUGUGGAGCAAAAUGUGGUGGUGUGAUUAGAAUUGUUUCUAUUUGUCACCUGAAAGUUUUUUGGUUAUUUA
This is a non-coding RNA of Physcomitrium patens, 4930 nucleotides long. The record is from RefSeq and is a predicted model, not a curated record. NCBI's taxonomy places the organism in Eukaryota, Viridiplantae, Streptophyta, Bryopsida, Funariales, Funariaceae.